RNAcentral lists this long non-coding RNA (241 nucleotides) under Capra hircus (goat). RNAcentral describes it as "lncRNA (ENSCHIG00010030313.1)". The record is from RNAcentral. Lineage: Eukaryota; Metazoa; Chordata; Mammalia; Artiodactyla; Bovidae.
AAGUGACAUGUCAGAGCUGCGAUUGCCUUCAGUAGUCCAGUUUUAAGUCCAAAGCCUUAAUCGUUCUUUCUGGAUACCCAGUACCUUAUAAUGCAGGUCUAUGGAAUUGGACUUCAGACCAAAGUCGACAGGUCUUUAAAAAGACCUGCACGUACCAGCUAACACCUAUGAUCGGUGUACGUCCCACAUUCCAGAAACCAAACCUUGGUAGGAAAACGAUAAGGUCCCCAGGAAGACAAGA